RNAcentral lists this ribosomal RNA (749 nucleotides) under uncultured organism. RNAcentral's name for it is "bacterial SSU rRNA". It matches the Rfam family "Bacterial small subunit ribosomal RNA", at positions 707 to 1445 of the family's 1533-position model. The record is from RNAcentral.
CACCAGUGGCGUAAGCGCCUUGCUGGACUGUAACUGACGCUGAGGGACGAAAGCCAGGGGAGCAAAUGGGAUUAGAUACCNCAGUAGUCCUGGCCGUAAACGAUGGAUACUAGGUGUCGCGGGUAUCGACCCCUGCGGUGCUGCAGCUAACGCAAUAAGUAUCCCGCCUGGGGAGUACGCACGCAAGUGUGAAACUCAAAGGAAUUGACGGGGACCCGCACAAGCGGUGGAACAUGUGGUUUAAUUCGAAGCAACGCGAAGAACCUUACCAGGGCUUGACAUCCCGAGAACUUUCCAGAGAUGGAUUGGUGCCCUUCGGGGAACUCGGUGACAGGUGGUGCACGGUUGUCGUCAGCUCGUGUCGUGAGAUGUUGGGUUAAGUCCCGCAACGAGCGCAACCCUCGUUGUUAGUUGCCAGUAAGAGCCUGCUCUUGCUGUGCUCUCUAGCGAGACUGCCGGUGAUAAACCGGAGGAAGGUGGGGACGACGUCAAAUCAUCAUGCCCCUUAUGUCCUGGGCUACACACGUGUUACAAUGGGUAGGACAGCGAGCAGCCAACCAGCAAUGGUGAGCAAAUCUCUUAAACCUACUCUCAGCUCGGAUCGCAGUCUGCAACUCGACUGCGUGAAGUCGGAAUCGCUAGUAACCGUAGAUCAGCACGCUGCGGUGAAUACGUUCCCGGGUCUUGUACACACUGCCCGUCACACCAUGGAAGCUGACCACGCCCGAAGUCGGUGAGCUAACUCUUUG